RNAcentral lists this ribosomal RNA (1638 nucleotides) under Datisca glomerata. RNAcentral's name for it is "SSU rRNA". It matches the Rfam family "Eukaryotic small subunit ribosomal RNA", at positions 3 to 1396 of the family's 1831-position model. Lineage: Eukaryota; Viridiplantae; Streptophyta; Magnoliopsida; Cucurbitales; Datiscaceae. The record is from RNAcentral.
CCUAGUUGAUCCUGUCAGUAGUCAUAUGCUUAUCUCAAAAAUUAAGCCAUGUAUGUGUAAGUAUGAACUAAUUUAGACUGUGAAACUACGAAUGACUCAUUAAAUCUAUUAUAGUUUGUUUGAUCGUAUCUGCUACUCGGGUAACCGUAAUAAUUGUAGAGCUAAUUUGUGCAACAACCCCCAACUUGUAUAAGGGAUGAAUUUAUUAUAUAAAAGGUCAAUGCAGGCUCUACUCAUUGCUAUGAUGAUUCAUGAUAACUUGACGAAUCACACGACCAUCGUGCCGGCGACGUAUCAUUCAAAUUUAUGCCCCAUCAACUUUCGAUGGUAGGAUAGUGGCGUACUAUGUUGUUGAUGGGUGAUGGAGAAUUAGUGUUCGAUUCAAGAGAGGGAACCUGAGAAACGGCUACGACAUCCAAGGAAAAUAGCAGGCGUGCAAAUUACCCAAUCCUGACACGGGGAGAUAGUUACAAUAAAUAACAAUACCAGGCUCUUAUAGUCUAGUAAUUGGAAUGAGUAGAAUCUAAAUCCCUUAACAAGGAUCCAUUGGAGGGAAAGUCUGGUGCCAGCCGCGGUAAUUCCAACUCUAAUAGCGUAUAUUUAAAUUGUUUGAGUUAAAAAGCUCGUAGUGGACCUUAGGUUGGGUCAAUCCAUCCGCCUAUCGUGCGCACCCGGUUGGCUCGUCCCUUCGACGGCGAUGCGCUCUUGGCCUUAACUGGCCAAAUCGUGCCUCUAGUGAUGUUGGUUUGAAGAUAUUAGAGUGCUUAAAGAAAGCCUACGCUCUGUAUACAUUAGCAUGGGAUAACAUCAUAGGAUUUCGAUCCUAUUCUGUUGGCUUUCAGGAUUGAAGUAAUGAUUCAUAGGGAUAGUCUGGGGCAUUUGUAUUUCAUAGUCAGAAGUGAAAUUCUUAGAUUUAUUAAAGAUGAACAACUGUGAAAGCAUUUGUCAAGAAUGUUUUCAUUAAUCAAUAAUGAAAGUUAGGGGCUCGAAGAUGAUCAGAUACCGUCCUAGUCUCAAUCAUAAACGAUACCGACCAGGGAUCAGCGGAUGCUACUUUUAGAACACCGUUGACACUUUAUGAGAAAUCAAAAUCUUUGGCUUCCGGGAGGGGGGUAUGGUCACAAGGAUGGAAACUUAAAGGAAUUUAUGGAAGGGCACCACUAGGAGUGGAGCCUGUGACUUAAUUUCACUGAACAUAGGGAAACUUACCAGGUUUAUACAUAGUAAGGAUUGAUAGAUUGAAAGAUAAUUCUUGAUUCUAUGGGUGGUGGUGCAUGGUUGUUCUUAGUUGGUGAAGUGAUUUGUCUAGUUAAUUUUGUUAAUGAAUGAGACAUCGGCCUACUAACUAGCUAUGCGAAGGUGACCCUCCGCGGCCAGCUUCCUAGAGGACUAUGGCCAUUUAGGCCAAGGAAGUUUGAGGUAUUGACUAUUAUGCCGCUUCUUACCACUAUUGACCUCACCUAAGUCACAUUUCACCAUCACAACUACUAUCGUCGAUUGUCAUCUGCCGCCAACCGCGUCAGCCAAAUGCCACUGAGAAGCAGCAGCCUCGGAUGUGUAGCCAUCUGUUAGGCUGCAUUAUCUCGAAGAGUACUUUUUACAAUGAUUCGAUACCCACCCAUUUCAAAACAAUUACAA